Molecule: ribosomal RNA, 458 nt
Filed under: uncultured bacterium
Lineage: Bacteria
Description: bacterial SSU rRNA
Rfam family: Bacterial small subunit ribosomal RNA
Source: RNAcentral
AACGAACGCUGGCGGCAGGCUUAACACAUGCAAGUCGAACGAGAAGCUACCUUCGGGUAGUGGAAAGUGGCAGACGGGUGAGUAACGCGUGGGAAUAUGCCUAGAGGUACGGAACAACUCCGGGAAACUGGUGCUAAUACCGUAUACGCCCUUCGGGGGAAAGAUUUAUCGCCUUUAGAUUAGCCCGCGUUAGAUUAGCUUGUUGGUGAGGUAAUGGCUCACCAAGGCGACGAUCUAGAGCUGGUCUGAGAGGAUGAUCAGCCACACUGGGACUGAGACACGGCCCAGACUCCUACGGGAGGCAGCAGUGGGGAAUCUUGGACAAUGGGCGCAAGCCUGAUCCAGCCAUGCCGCGUGUGUGAUGAAGGCCCUAGGGUUGUAAAACACUUUCAGUGGGAAGAUAAUGACGGUACCCACAGAAGAAGCCCCGGCUAACUCCGUGCCAGCAGCCGCGGUAA